UUCUAGUAGCUCUCUACUACUGUUCGUAGUAGUGUAUGAUUUACAGGUACAUCAAUCGCUUCGUAUACAGGAGAAACUCCUUUGUAUACGGCGGGUUCGUCGGUGUGCCCGGGGAACGAGACAUCCGGGGCGUGACAAUCUAUACUCUUGAUCUUGAUUACAAAACUCCUAUAAUCACUUUUUAAAAAAUAUUCAUUUUCAGCCGUUCAUUUUCAUGUCCACUUGAUGGACAAAAGAAUAAUACCGAAAAAAUAUGAAAUUUAGUUUUU
This 269-nucleotide long non-coding RNA is filed under the name Ananas comosus (pineapple). Its description in RNAcentral is "long non-coding RNA (ACOM_LNC002232)". The record is from RNAcentral. Lineage: Eukaryota; Viridiplantae; Streptophyta; Magnoliopsida; Poales; Bromeliaceae.